RNAcentral lists this ribosomal RNA (253 nucleotides) under uncultured bacterium. RNAcentral's name for it is "partial 16S ribosomal RNA". It matches the Rfam family "Bacterial small subunit ribosomal RNA", at positions 524 to 776 of the family's 1533-position model. The record is from RNAcentral.
UACGUAGGGUGCAAGCGUUAAUCGGAAUUACUGGGCGUAAAGCGUGCGCAGGCGGUUGUGCAAGACAGAUGGGAAAUCCCCGGGCUCAACCUGGGAACUGCAUUUGUGACUGCACGGCUGGAGUGCGGCAGAGGGGGAUGGAAUUCCGCGUGUAGCAGUGAAACGCGUAGAUAUGCGGAGGAACACCGAUGGCGAAGGCAAUCCCCUGGGCCUGCACUGACGCUCAUGCACGAAAGCGUGGGGAGCAAACAGG